Molecule: long non-coding RNA, 2529 nt
Organism: Anolis carolinensis (green anole)
Lineage: Eukaryota; Metazoa; Chordata; Lepidosauria; Squamata; Anolidae
Source: Ensembl
CAGUUCCAAAUCUAUUUUUAAAUUGAAACAUUAAAAUUAUUAAUAUUAAUAUAUAUGUAUUAAAAGUUAGAUACAGAGCCUUUUAAUGUCUUCAGAACAGCACCCUACAGCAUUAUCAGGCCCAAUCUGUGUUACAUCUAUAAAUCCAGAUGAAAUCCAGUUUUAGAUCCAUAUAUUUAGAAUUGCAUUCUCCUGGCUAUGCAAAACACCACAUAAUAUGGUCUUGUAUAUUUAAAAAGCAAAAACAAGAAAUGUGUUACACAUGCAAAGUAUGUGUUCUAUGUGCAAGCUAUGAUUCUGUAGGCUUUAGCCUACAAAACCUUAAAAGGCUAUGGUCCAACUUACCUCUCCGAACGUAUCUCCUCCUAUGAGCCGUCCCACAGAUUAAGAUCUUCGAGUGAGACCCUGCUCUCGGUCCCACUGCCAUCAUAGGUGGUUGACAGGGAUGAGAGACAGGGCUUUUUCGGUCGUAGCUCCGUAGCUGUGGAACUCCUUGCCAAGGGAGAUUAGGGAAGCCCCCUCACUCAUGUCUUUUAAGAAGCAGCUGAAGACCUGGAUGUGGGCCCAAGCUUUUGUCCCAUUCUAGGAUAUGGGUUGAUAUGACCUGAUGUAUUCGUUAGAUUAAUGUGAAGUUCAAUUCAAUUCAAUUAAAAUUGAGAUUAAUGUGAAGUUGAACAUGGACUGGAUCCAGCCAUUCAUUUUUAUUGAAUUUCUCAGAAACUCUCAUCCUAUCCAAGUUCUAUCUCGGGCUGUAGUCUUAUUACAAGGAACACUAUGCUCAAUUCUUGGAAUAUUUAUAAACUGAAACAUAUCCUGAGGAAAACAACUGAGAUGACCAAUGGGCUGGAAACCAAGUUCUAUGAGGAGCUGAACCUGUUCACUCUGGAGAAGAGAGAAAAUGGAGAGGUCAGAAAGGAGGAGGAAGAACAACACUCAUUCCUUCAUAGUCUUCAGCAUGCGGGAUUGGAGCAAGAUGCUCCUGAUACCAAUUCUUGGAAGGGCAGAUCUUCCAAAUGACUUUGGUUUCAAACUGACAAAUGGCAGCACUUGAAGGAGACUCCACCCACUUUUGAUGUCAUGGGGAAUCCCCAGCCCACAGGAGCCGAAAUUGAAACUGAGCCGGUUUCUGACCAAUCAGAGGAGGGCAUGGCAACAUUGAAUGGCUGUCAAAAGGAAUAAAAUAUCUUCUACUGUAUUGAAUGCUUUAUAUCCAAUUUGUUGAGCACAAACUCUAUAUCAGACAUCCUUUCAGGCCUGAAAGCAAUAAGCUAUGUUAUCUUCAAACCCAGCUUGGAUUUUAAUAUGGUCUUCAAGGUAGUGAAGUGCACCAGGCACCAGACUCUCAGCCUGCUCCUUUAGCUGAAUCUCUGUCUCAAUACCAAGCAUACUGUGCAGUCAAGACAGAAAACAAUGUUUGCCAAUCAUCCUCUCUACAAACUACCUGACAUUAUUCACACCACUUCAACUGUUAUGGUUCAAUGCUAUGGAAAAAUAGCAUUCUGCCAGAGUGCUGGUGACUCAGUAAACUACAGAUCCCAGGAUUCCAUAGCAUUGAGCCUCUGCAGUUAGCGUGGUAUCAAACCACACUAAUUCUACAGUGUAGCUGCAUCCUUAGAUUACAUACCCAAAGAUGCGGCAGCUUAAAAAGCCAAUGGGAUUUUGUCCUGCAUCAAUUAAAGCAGGUAAAUCUAGUGAAAGAAAAAGAGAGAGCUGCAGGAGAUGAUGAUGAUAAUAAUAAUAAUAAUAAUAAUAAUAAUAAUAAUAAUAAUAAUAAUAAUUUUAUUUUUGUAUGCCACCUCCAUCUCCCCAACGGGGACUCGGAGCGGCUCACAUGGGGGCAAGCCCAAUACAAUCAUAUAAUUUCAUAAAAACAACAGUUAAGACAUCAAAGAAUGCAUUUAAAAAAACAAAUUAACAAGUCAUUAUUUGAAAUGGACAUAAUUAAAAUAAUGACGAUAUAGUUCUUUUGGCAUCACAAAUGAUGUCAUCAGUGUUUGCAAUUCAUUGAAGCACCAGCAUUCUUUGGCAGAGAAGGCCAAGGACCUUGUAAAACUACAACUUUUGACAUUAAGCCAUUUCAGUGAAAGUUGCAUCAAAUUGCAUUAAUUCUACAGUGUAGAUGCACUCAUAGUCAUGGUAGAGAUAGGGCAUUUGGCUUUUCCCCAUUAAUGUUUACUGUCCCGAUCUGUAAAUCAGUCCAAAUUACUUCAAAUUAUUCUAUUCCCCAACAUCUAUAUAAAGACCUAUAGAAAUAUAGACAUGGUGAAAUUAAAAUAAAGGGAUUUAAAAUGAAGAAUGGAUUUUAUGAAGUUGUAGAAAUUUUAAUGAUUGUAUUUAAUGUACGCAAUAGUUAGAUAAUGCAUUUUUAUCUAUCAUAUGGCACUUACUAGUUUACUACACUUCUUCCCCAUAACUGAUCAUUUAUUACUAUAGAAAAUUACUAAUAAUGUUCCAUUUUGUAAUUAGGCUAUUAUAGAUUGCCAGCUAGUGAGCACUUGAAAUGGUCAUCAUGAAGCUGUACAGUUAAAA